RNAcentral lists this unclassified non-coding RNA (346 nucleotides) under fungal sp. RNAcentral describes it as "partial internal transcribed spacer region". The stretch from base 1 to 46 matches the Rfam family "Eukaryotic small subunit ribosomal RNA", at positions 1786 to 1831 of the family's 1831-position model. Lineage: Eukaryota; Fungi. The record is from RNAcentral.
AAGUCGUAACAAGGUUUCCGUAGGUGAACCUGCGGAAGGAUCAUUAAUACGUCUAAACAACGUUUUAAACCUUACAAAUUUGUGGAAAUUCUUACCUUCCGGGUGCAUUUUUAUUGGCAUGAGAAGGGACUUCUUGUAAUGAGACACUUCAGUGUAGAGCAGUGAGGUGAAAUCUGAGCUUUUGAUGGCUUGGAUUUGGUUCUGGAUCACGACUUCUGAGUUAAAGUGCCAAAUGCAUUCGGUUAUUUCUGUUCUACAUUUUAUUCUAUCAAACUUAUAAACCCCAUGUACAACAACUUGAACUAAAUAUCUCUUCUAACUCUUAACAACGGAUAUCUUGGUUCUC